This is a ribosomal RNA of 870 nucleotides. The stretch from base 311 to 870 matches the Rfam family "Eukaryotic large subunit ribosomal RNA", at positions 1 to 648 of the family's 3401-position model.
AACCUGCGGAAGGAUCAUUAAAAAUAUUAUUACACACUUUUAGGAAAAACAACUGAACCUUUUUUUUCAAUAACACAAUUCAAAAACUUUCAACAACGGAUCUCUUGGUUCUCGCAUCGAUGAAGAACGCAGCGAAUUGCGAUACGUAAUAUGACUUGCAGACGUGAAUCAUUGAAUCUUUGAACGCACAUUGCGCCCCGGGGUAUUCCCCCGGGCAUGCGUGGGUGAGCGAUAUUUACUCUCAAACCUCCGGUUUGGUCCUGCUUCGGCCUAAUAUCAACGGCGCUAGAAUAAGUUUUAGCCCCAGCCUUUUUCCUCACCCUCGUAAGACUACCCGCUGAACUUAAGCAUAUCAAUAAGCGGAGGAAAAGAAACCAACAGGGAUUGCCUCAGUAACGGCGAGUGAAGCGGCAAAAGCUCAAAUUUGAAAUCCCCCGGGAAUUGUAAUUUGAAGAGAUUUGGGUCCGGCCGGCGGGGGUUAAGUCCACUGGAAAGUGGCGCCACAGAGGGUGACAGCCCCGUGAACCCCCUCAACGCCUUUAUCCCAGGUCUCCAAGAGUCGAGUUGUUUGGGAAUGCAGCUCUAAGUGGGUGGUAAAUUCCAUCUAAAGCUAAAUACCGGCGAGAGACCGAUAGCGAACAAGUACAGUGAUGGAAAGAUGAAAAGCACUUUGAAAAGAGAGUGAAAAAGUACGUGAAAUUGUUGAAAGGGAAGGGCUUGCAAGCAGACACUUAACUGGGCCAGCAUCGGGGCGGCGGGGAGCAAAACCACUGGGGAAUGUACCUUUCGAGGAUUAUAACCCCGGUCCUUACUCCCUCACCAUCCCGAGGCCUGCAAUCUAAGGAUGCUGGCGUAAUGGUUGCAAGUCGC